Molecule: small RNA, 155 nt
Filed under: Chrysemys picta bellii (western painted turtle)
Lineage: Eukaryota; Metazoa; Chordata; Testudines; Emydidae
Description: TUC338 (ENSCPBG00000020252.1)
Source: RNAcentral
UUGACAGUCGCGGGGUAUGAAGUCCUUUAUUCAUCCACAGAGCAGGUAGCAGAAGUGGCAGUUUCUUCUGCCCUACCAGUUUUGGCUUUCUCUGACCUUGUGAUAUUACUUCCAGUGGGAGCAUUCUCCUCUAUGUCCUUACAUCAUUGCACUCU